Small nucleolar RNA from Carassius auratus (goldfish), 130 nucleotides. Ensembl annotates it as small nucleolar RNA SNORA17. The record is from Ensembl. NCBI's taxonomy places the organism in Eukaryota, Metazoa, Chordata, Actinopteri, Cypriniformes, Cyprinidae.
UUUGCCCCAUGAGACGUAACUCUGGCAGUGAUGCCACUGUUGUGCUAAAGGUGGGCAGAAAGAAACUGGCUUGCGAUCGACCCUGCUGUCCUGUAUGGUGGACCGGGGGCUUGGAGCGAGGCCAGAUAAC